UGAGGAAUAUUGGUCAAUGGACGAGAGUCUGAACCAGCCAAGUAGCGUGCAGGAAGACGGCCCUAUGGGUUGUAAACUGCUUUUAUAAGGGAAUAAAGUUAGUCUCGUGAGACUUUUUGCAUGUACCUUAUGAAUAAGGACCGGCUAAUUCCGUGCCAGCAGCCGCGGUAAUACGGAAGGUCCGGGCGUUAUCCGGAUUUAUUGGGUUUAAAGGGAGCGUAGGCCGGAGAUUAAGCGUGUUGUGAAAUGUAGACGCUCAACGUCUGCACUGCAGCGCGAACUGGUUUCCUUGAGUACGCACAAAGUGGGCGGAAUUCGUGGUGUAGCGGUGAAAUGCUUAGAUAUCACGAAGAACUCCGAUUGCGAAGGCAGCUCACUGGAGCGCAACUGACGCUGAAGCUCGAAAGUGCGGGUAUCGAACAGGAUUAGAUACCCUGGUAGUCCGCACGGUAAACGAUGGAUGCCCGCUGUUGGUCUGAAUAGGUCAGCGGCCAAGCGAAAGCAUUAAGCAUCCCACCUGGGGAGUACGCCGGCAACGGUGAAACUCAAAGGAAUUGACGGGGGCCCGCACAAGCGGAGGAACAUGUGGUUUAAUUCGAUGAUACGCGAGGAACCUUACCCGGGCUUGAAUUGCAGAGGAAGGAUUUGGAGACAAUGACGCCCUUCGGGGUCUCUGUGAAGGUGCUGCAUGGUUGUCGUCAGCUCGUGCCGUGAGGUGUCGGCUUAAGUGCCAUAACGAGCGCAACCCCUCUCCUUAGUUGCCAUCAGGUCAAGCUGGGCACUCUGGGGACACUGCCACCGUAAGGUGUGAGGAAGGUGGGGAUGACGUCAAAUCAGCACGGCCCUUACGUCCGGGGCUACACACGUGUUACAAUGGCAGGUACAGAGAGACGGUCCCUUGCAAAACGGAUCAAAUCCUUAAAGCCUGUCUCAGUUCGGACUGGGGUCUGCAACCCGACCCCACGAAGCUGGAUUCGCUAGUAAUCGCGCAUCAGCCAUGGCGCGGUGAAUACGUUCCC
Molecule: ribosomal RNA, 1019 nt
Filed under: uncultured bacterium
Lineage: Bacteria
Description: bacterial SSU rRNA
Rfam family: Bacterial small subunit ribosomal RNA
Source: RNAcentral